UACGGGGGGAGCAAGCGUUGUUCGGAUUUACUGGGCGUAAAGGGCGCGUAGGCGGCCACCGCAGGUCGGUUGUGAAAUCUCCGGGCUUAACCCGGAAAGGUCAAUCGAUACUGCGGGGCAGAGUGCAGAAGGGGCAACUGGAAAUUCUCGGUGUAGCGGUGAAAAUGCGUAGAUAUUGGGAGGAACACCAGUGGCGAAGGCGGUCCCCCUGGGCCGGAA
RNAcentral lists this ribosomal RNA (219 nucleotides) under uncultured bacterium. Its description in RNAcentral is "partial 16S ribosomal RNA". It matches the Rfam family "Bacterial small subunit ribosomal RNA", at positions 524 to 739 of the family's 1533-position model. The record is from RNAcentral.